Molecule: unclassified non-coding RNA, 1335 nt
Filed under: Hevea brasiliensis (rubber tree)
Lineage: Eukaryota; Viridiplantae; Streptophyta; Magnoliopsida; Malpighiales; Euphorbiaceae
Source: RNAcentral
AUUGAAAUGAUUUUAAUUUGAGUUAAUCUUAGUGGUUCUGUGUUUGUGAUUUUGCGUUGAUGUAUUGAGAAUUUGGGAGAUUUUUUGCUGAGGAUUUGGGAGGAUGUUUGGUUCUGUAAUCGUGGAUGGGAACUGUUUAGGAACCAAUUGGACUGAAUUAAACUGAACCCUUUUUUCCUGGUUUGGUUUGAUUUAGUUUUACUAUUAGUUUGGUUCACAAAAAUGCGAUCGUCGGUUUUCCGGUUCGGCUUGGAACCAAACCGACUGAUCACACCCCCCUAAUGGUAUGCAUAUUAAAGAUUCCUAUUCUGGGGGAGAAAUCGUCGAAAAGUUAUGUUUUCUUGAGUGUUUUAAGCAUGGGUGUGUUUUCACUAGAUCAUGUACUGUAGAAACUUGGAAGCAAUGCACAAAAGUGUAUUUUCAAAUCGGGACAAAUAGUGCAAAUAUUGCGCUGAUGCUUACUGUGAUCCAGUGAAUAGAUUAGUGGCCCACAUUUUUCGUUAUGAUUUAUCCUCGUCAGUGCUGGAGUUUUAGCUAGAUGAGUUUAUUGGGAAUAUGUGGCUUGUUAUGUAAGUCAUACUCUAUUAAAUGUGCAUGCACAUUAGAAAGAGCUAUUAUGGGUGAAAUUAGUCACUUUUUUAGAGUUUUUCUAUACAUGGGUGUCUUUUAGUAGAUUAUGUUCUGGAGAAACUUUGAAGCAGUGCACAAAACGUACUCUCAUAGCAGGGCAAAAUGCGCAAAUAUUACAAAGAUGUGAUCAAGUUAAUUGGUUAAUAACCCAAAUAUCUUGUUCUGUUUGUUAAUUCUGAAAUUUAAUGAUAUUUUUGUUCAGGUGAAUUGCAGCGCAUUCUUCAGUUAGUAAUUUUGCUUGUUAAAAAUGUUCGUAUUUUUUGUUUAGUGCUAAUUGGAUCGUGCAUAAUUACUCCUUUGCUUUGUAUGUGGUAUAUGAUUUAUGAAACAGGGUUUUAUGCUUAUCAUUUCAGGUGUAUGAUCUAUGGCUUUUUAAAAAUGGAUGCAGUUUGGUUCAAACAUAGUUUUGCUUAUUCUUAUAAAACUUUAAAGUUGGAGACAGGGCAGUGCGAGGCUUUUAUGUUUUGGGGUUUCUUUGAGCGAGGAGCUUCAGCUCGCAGAUAUUCAAACUGAUCAAGCUAUAAGGAAUUUGCUGUCAAAAAGAUUGAUAUUUCCUUUAUAGAUCUAUUUCAGUUUUUACUUUUAUGUCAACUCCUUUUCUUGUCUCUAUACCUUUUUUAUUAACAGAGCUCAACAUCUUAGCAUUUAUGCUAGAAAAUGAUAUCCUUAUGUUGAUUGUAGUUGAGCCAUUUUAGUUCUUUUACA